GCGGGGGAUAACUAUUGGAAACGAUAGCUAAUACCGCAUAACAGCAUUUAACCCAUGUUAGAUGCUUGAAAGGAGCAAUUGCUUCACUAGUAGAUGGACCUGCGUUGUAUUAGCUAGUUGGUGAGGUAACGGCUCACCAAGGCGACGAUACAUAGCCGACCUGAGAGGGUGAUCGGCCACACUGGGACUGAGACACGGCCCAGACUCCUACGGGAGGCAGCAGUAGGGAAUCUUCGGCAAUGGGGGCAACCCUGACCGAGCAACGCCGCGUGAGUGAAGAAGGUUUUCGGAUCGUAAAGCUCUGUUGUAAGAGAAGAACGUGUGUGAGAGUGGAAAGUUCACACAGUGACGGUAACUUACCAGAAAGGGACGGCUAACUACGUGCCAGCAGCCGCGGUAAUACGUAGGUCCCGAGCGUUGUCCGGAUUUAUUGGGCGUAAAGCGAGCGCAGGCGGUUUAAUAAGUCUGAAGUUAAAGGCAGUGGCUUAACCAUUGUUCGCUUUGGAAACUGUUAGACUUGAGUGCAGAAGGGGAGAGUGGAAUUCCAUGUGUAGCGGUGAAAUGCGUAGAUAUAUGGAGGAACACCGGUGGCGAAAGCGGCUCUCUGGUCUGUAACUGACGCUG
This 624-nucleotide ribosomal RNA is filed under the name uncultured bacterium. Its description in RNAcentral is "bacterial SSU rRNA". It matches the Rfam family "Bacterial small subunit ribosomal RNA", at positions 136 to 748 of the family's 1533-position model. The record is from RNAcentral.